AGAGUUUGAUUCUGGCUCAGAACGAACGCUGGCAGCGUGGAUUAGGCAUGCAAGUCGAACGAGAAUCCGUUACUUCAAGUUUUCGGACGAGAAGUGGCGGAGGAGAGUGGCGGAAGGGUGAGUAACGCGUGGGUAACCUGCCCCCUUGUUGAGAACAACUAUGCGAAAGCGUAGCUAAUACUGAAUAUGGUUUUUCUCCGCAUGGAGGAGCAACCAAAGGUGGGGCCUUUCGGGGCCUGCCGCGAGGGGAGGGACCCGCGUCCGAUCAGCUUGUUGGUGGGGUAACGGCUCACCAAGGCUACGACCGGUAGCUGGUCUGAGAGGAUGGUCAGCCACACUGGGACUGAGACGCUGCCCAGACUCCUACGGGAGGCUGCAGUCGAGGAUCAUAGUCAAUGCGCGAAAGCGUGAACUUGCGGCGCUGCGUGGAGGAUGACGGCUUUCGGGUUGUAAACUCCUGUCAUGAGGGAACAAUUACGUGAGGGUUAAUACCCCUUGCGAGUGAUGGUACCUCAAGAGGAAGCCACGGCUAACUCUGUGCCAGCAGCCGCGGUAAUACAGAGGUGGCGAGCGUUGUUCGGAUUUACUGGGCGUAAAGCGUGCGUAGGUGGUUCUGUGUGUCGGACGUGAAAUCCCGCCGCUCAACGGCGGAACUGCGUUCGAAACUGCAGAUCUGGAGUGCAGGAGGGGAGAGCGGAAUUCUUGGUGAAGCGGUGAAAUGCGUUGAUAUCAAGAAGAACACCGGUGGCGAAGGCGGCUCUCUGGAAUGUUACUGACACUGAGGCACGAAAGCUGGGGGAGCAAACAGGAUUAGAUACCCUGGUAGUCCCAGCUGUAAACGGUGCGCACUUGGUGUUGGCGGUAUUGACCCCGCCAGUGCCGGAGCUAACGCGUUAAGUGCGCCGCCUGGGGAGUACGGCCGCAAGGCUAAAACUCAAAGAAAUUGACGGGUCCCGCACAAGCGGAGGAGCAUGUGGCUUAAUUCGAUGCAACGCGAAGAACCUUACCAGGGCUUGACAUGCAGCUGCACGGCCGGUGAAAGCCGGUUUCCUUCGAGGGUGCUGCACAGGUGCUGCAUGGCUGUCGUCAGUUCGUGCCGUGAGGUGUCGGGUUAAGUCCCGCAACGAACGCAACCCUUGUGUCUAGUUGCUACCGUAGGUGAUGAGCCUGCGGGCACUCUAGACAGACUGCCCGUACAAGCGGGAGGAAGGUGGGGACGACGUCAAGUCAGUAUGGCCCUUACGCCCUGGGCUGCACACGUGCUACAAUGGUCGGUACAGAGGGCUGCAAAGCCGCGAGGUGGAGCUAAUCCCGAAAGCCGGCCUCAGUUCGGAUUGGAGUCUGCAACUCGACUCCAUGAAGUUGGAUUCGCUAGUAACGGCGUAUCAGCUACGGCGCCGUGAAUACGUUCCCGGGCAUUGUACACACCGCCCGUCACAUCAUGAAAGCCGUCUGCACUCGAAGUCGCUGAGCCAACCCGCAAGGGAGGCAGGCGCCGAAGGUGUUGGUGGUGAUUGGGAUGAA
RNAcentral lists this ribosomal RNA (1524 nucleotides) under metagenome. Its description in RNAcentral is "bacterial SSU rRNA". It matches the Rfam family "Bacterial small subunit ribosomal RNA". The record is from RNAcentral.